Molecule: long non-coding RNA, 707 nt
Filed under: Pan troglodytes (chimpanzee)
Lineage: Eukaryota; Metazoa; Chordata; Mammalia; Primates; Hominidae
Description: long non-coding RNA NONPTRT007074
Source: RNAcentral
CCCCCGCGGGCGCGCUGUCGGCUUGUUUGGAAAGCCCAGAGGCGCUUCGAGGUAAAAAGAUGUUUCUCUUCUUUCCCGUCUUCCUCUCAAGACCCUCUGGGCUGACCCGGCGCGGGGGCUCACGCCUGUAAUCCCAGCACUUUGGAAAGCGGAGGCGGGCGGAUCACUUGAGCCCGGGAGUUGGAGACCAUCCUGGGCGAAAUGGCAAAACCCUGUCUCUACAAAAAUACAAAAAUCAGCCGGGAGUGGUGGUGUGCGCCUGUGGUCCCAGCUACUCUGGAGACUGAGGUGGAGAAUCGCUUGAACCUGAGAGGCAGAGGUUGCAGUGAACGGAGAUUAUGCCACUGUACUCCAGCCUGAGCAACAGAGCGAGACCCUGUCUCAAACAAACAAACAAAAACCAAAACACAAAACCAAAAAACAAAACACAAACCAAAAAACUGCACUCCAGCCUGAGCGACAGAGCCAGACCCUGUCUCAAAAAAAAAAAAAAAAAAAGAAAAGAAAAAGAAAAAUCUCUGGGAAUUGCAUUCAUUCCACAGACUUCUUCCAUGCUUUUCUGGAUUCUCCCAAUAACCAAGGGACUGACAACUGUCAAGCCUGAAUGCCUGGGACCCAAUCCUGCUUAGGCCACACCCAGUAAGUCCUUCUCUUUAUCCAGCUGAGAUCUUAAAGCUCAGUUCAUUCCAGCCCAACCAGCCAAUGGC